Molecule: ribosomal RNA, 450 nt
Filed under: uncultured bacterium
Lineage: Bacteria
Description: partial 16S ribosomal RNA
Rfam family: Bacterial small subunit ribosomal RNA
Source: RNAcentral
GUAGGGAAUCUUCCACAAUGGACGAAAGUCUGAUGGAGCAACGCCGCGUGAGUGAAGAAGGUCUUCGGAUCGUAAAACUCUGUUGUUAGAGAAGAACGUGCAUGAUAGUAACUGAUCAUGUAAUGACGGUAUCUAACCAGAAAGCCACGGCUAACUACGUGCCAGCAGCCGCGGUAAUACGUAGGUGGCAAGCGUUGUCCGGAUUUAUUGGGCGUAAAGGGAACGCAGGCGGUUUUUUAAGUCUGAUGUGAAAGCCUUCGACUUAACCGAAGAAUAGCAUUGGAAACUGGAAGACUUGAGUGCAGAAGAGGAGAGUGGAAUUCCAUGUGUAGCGGUGAAAUGCGUAGAUAUAUGGAGGAACACCAGUGGCGAAAGCGGCUCUCUGGUCUGUAACUGACGCUGAGGUUCGAAAGCGUGGGUAGCAAACAGGAUUAGAAACCCGGGUAGUCC